This 217-nucleotide long non-coding RNA is filed under the name Capsella rubella. RNAcentral describes it as "long non-coding RNA (CRUB_LNC002986)". Lineage: Eukaryota; Viridiplantae; Streptophyta; Magnoliopsida; Brassicales; Brassicaceae. The record is from RNAcentral.
UCUACAUCACUACGAGUGGAUAAUAAUAGUAUGCAUGGGAAAUCAAAUUAAAAGAAACGUAAGAGAUUAGUAAGUUUGCCCACCGUACAACAUAUAUACACCGUAUAUACGACCGUACACACCGUAUUUUAGAACACUGAUUAAAAUUGGUUAAAACUAUUCAAAAAAAAAACCUUAAAAUAUAUGAAAACCUCGAUUAUUUUUUACUUAAAUUUAC